GUGAGAAGUCGUCUGGUGCGCUUCCCUUUGGCACAAUGUUUGCUUUGUUUUUCCUAUGGUUCGGUAUAUCGGUGCCACUGGUGUAUGUUGGAGGUUACUUGGGUACAAAGAAGCCAGCCGAGGAAAACCCUGUGAAAACCAACAAGAUCCCGAGGCAGGUCCCUGAGCAGGCUUGGUACAUGCAGCCGGCAUUCUCGAUAUUGAUAGGUGGUAUACUCCCGUUCGGGGCUGUCUUUAUUGAGCUCUUCUUCAUUCUGACCUCGAUAUGGCUGAACCAGUUCUACUAC
Molecule: unclassified non-coding RNA, 287 nt
Filed under: Hevea brasiliensis (rubber tree)
Lineage: Eukaryota; Viridiplantae; Streptophyta; Magnoliopsida; Malpighiales; Euphorbiaceae
Source: RNAcentral